CCUACGGUGGGCAGCAGUGAGGAAUAUUGGUCAAUGGCCGGAAGGCUGAACCAGCCAAGCCGCGUGAAGGACGAAGGUGCCAAGCAUUGUAAACUUCUUUUGUCAAGGGACAAAAUCAGGCUCGAGAGCCUGACCGAGGGUACUUGAAGAAAAAGCAUCGGCUAGCUCCGUGCCAGCAGCCGAGGUAAUACGGAGGAUGCGAGCGUUCGCCGGAUUUAUUGGGUUGAAAGGGUGCGUAGGCGGACUGUUAAGUCAGCGGUAAAAGCCCGGGGCUAAACCCCGGCGAGCCGUUGAAACGGACUGUCUGGAGAUGUCGAGAGGUAUGCGGAAUGCGCAGUGUAGCGGUGAAAUGCUUAGAUAUUGCGCAGAACUCCGAUUGCGAAGGCAGCAUACCGGCGGCGAUCUGACGCUGAGGCACGAAAGCGUGGGUAUCGAACAGGAUUAGAUACCCUUGUAGUC
This 459-nucleotide ribosomal RNA is filed under the name uncultured bacterium. RNAcentral describes it as "partial 16S ribosomal RNA". It matches the Rfam family "Bacterial small subunit ribosomal RNA", at positions 338 to 795 of the family's 1533-position model. The record is from RNAcentral.